CUGCGCCUUUAAGAUUAUUUAAUUUAGGAAAGUUAAGUUCUGUUAUUUGGACUGGGGGUGACCCGUUUAGGCUAGAGAUGAUUGAUUUUGUCACAAAGAUAUGGCAACCCUGCCAAGCCGGUCCGUAAACACUUAAGUACAAGCUGACUGUGCGUUUGCAUUAUGGCAUCUAGUUAUAUAUAUCUAUGGGCGCAGUGCUACAAUGAUUAUCUUUUAGUUAACUGGACAAAUAAAUGCAAAAAAGUUGGCUUAACCAGUGAAAAGAAGUUGGUUCAACAACCGUUGGACUAACCUAUUAUUACUUGUAAAUUCGAUUAAUAAAUGCAAGUUAACAACCAAAGAAGUUGGGUUGAAGGUUGGAGCAUGCGCAUUGUAACGAUCACGAGGUUGGCGCAUGUGCAAUGAAGCGCGCUCCAACGGACAGAUUCAGACUGCUGGACGGAGACAUUUUAGCAUCUUCGUGCGAGACUAAUGGAUCUACUCACAGCCAACGUGUUUCUGCUCAAAGCCAUCGUUUUAGACUGAGAUCAGAGGCAAUAAACAUCUGCAAAAAAAAAUUCCUGUGUCCUUCGAAGCCUGGCUAGGCUCUCACGUGUUUUGCAGACUACUUCGACGGUGUCGACAAGACUGCAAUCGUCUCAUUUAAAUUAUGUAAUGAGUUCAAACGCAUCACUAGUGUGGACCUCCUCGAAACAUUCAGAGCAUCAAUACACCAGCACACUCCGCAACUCCUCAAGCUAUACAGAGCAAGAAAGGGGGCAUUUGGAACAGAAAUGGAAGAUCUUCUCAACAAGCUUGAUCAGCAGACCACAAGUAUUGUGACUCACAGAAAGCAAACCGUCCUGGAAGGUCUCCCCAUGUUUCUACGAGAAGAUUCCUCUGUACUUUUUAAAACAUGGACAAGACUCCAGAGGACAGACAGACCAGAGGGAUGAAGGUGGGAAUCCUUAUUGUAAUUGAAGAUGAUGCCCCCCCCAGCACACUGCCCAGUGUCACAAAAUUUGCUGUUGUGUUGGUGGAGGGGAUUGUACUGAGAGAAGCUCCAGACUUGCAGUCUGCACUUGCAUACCUGUUUGGCCCUCUGUUUGCCUUGGACUUUGAGUACCCAAAGCAACGGAAAUACACUUUUGAGGUUAUUGAGAAAGUGUUUAUGGAGAUGGGCACUCAUUGCUCUGCUAGGGUACAGACCCUCAAAACUAAGCUAUUACUGUGAGAUGAAUUUGUGAGAUGUUUGUAUCUUACAUUUAAGAUGCAAGUAGAUAGUUUUUUUUUUUUGCAAUUUGCUUGCAUUUUGUUUGACUCAUUUUUGUUUAAACUGUUAACUUGAGGUUGUGAUAAACAUUGGUGCCACUGUUUCAGCACUUACAGCACAAACGUUAACUUGCACUUAUGGUAUAAAGCUGCUCAGUUGUAACAUAUUCAGUGUUUACAAUUUAAAAUGUAAAACAUUUAAAAGAUAGAACAUUUAAAGUGUUUAUGACCAGUUGAAUGUUAACACUUUGAAUGUAAAAGUACUCUUUAAAAAAAAA
This is a long non-coding RNA of Triplophysa dalaica, 1529 nucleotides long. RefSeq lists it as uncharacterized. The transcript has 5 exons. NCBI's taxonomy places the organism in Eukaryota, Metazoa, Chordata, Actinopteri, Cypriniformes, Nemacheilidae. The record is from RefSeq and is a predicted model, not a curated record.